This 1653-nucleotide ribosomal RNA is filed under the name Triticum aestivum (bread wheat). RNAcentral's name for it is "partial small subunit ribosomal RNA". Lineage: Eukaryota; Viridiplantae; Streptophyta; Magnoliopsida; Poales; Poaceae. The record is from RNAcentral.
AUGGACGGCGCCGGGGGCGGGGGAGGAGGGCCGCACCCCUCCCGGAGGAGCAUCUCCUCGGCCGCCGGCCCCAGGAGGAGGGGCCCGUCCAUGGAGAACGGCCACGACGCCGCCGCCGCCGCCAGGAGGUCCUCCGCCACCAUCUCCCGCACCACCUCGACGGUGACUGGGGAGAGAACCGUUAAGAGACUGAGACUGUCCAAGGCACUGACGAUACCGGACCACACGACUGUGUAUGAGGCUUGUCGGAGGAUGGCCGCACGUAGAGUUGAUGCCGUGUUGCUGACGGACUCCAACGCGUUGCUUUGCGGGAUCCUUACUGACAAGGACAUAACCACAAGGGUUAUUGCUCGUGAAUUGAAGCUAGAAGACACACCAGUUUCCAAGGUCAUGACUAGAAACCCUCUCUUUGUUCUCGGGGACACUCUCGCGGUCGAGGCAUUGCAGAAAAUGGUGCAAGGUAAGUUCAGACAUUUACCUGUUGUGGACAAUGGGGAAGUCAUUGCGCUACUGGACAUAGCCAAGUGCCUAUAUGAUGCUAUUGCACGAAUGGAAAGGGCAGCUGAGAAAGGAAGAGCAAUUGCUGCUGCUGUUGAGGGUGUUGAGAAGCAUUGGGGAACAUCUGUAUCUGGUCCCAACACUUUUGUUGAAACUCUUCGUGAACGGAUGUUUAGGCCAUCACUGUCGACAAUUAUAUCUGAGAAUUCAAAAGUGGCUACUGUUGCACCAACUGACACUGUGUUGACUGCAUCAAAAAAGAUGCUUGAACUAAAAGUAAGUUCAGCAGUUGUUGCGAUUGAAAACAAGCCUGGCGGGAUUCUGACCUCGAGAGAUAUAUUGAUGCGUGUUAUAGCCCAAAAUCUUCCACCUGAGUCUACUACAGUCGGGAAGGUUAUGACCCAGAGUCCAGAAUGUGCCACGAUUGACACCCCGAUCCUUGAAGCCCUACACACAAUGCAUGAUGGAAAGUUUCUGCAUUUGCCUGUUCUAGACAGGGAUGGGAGUGUUGUAACCGUUGUUGAUGUCCUUCACAUAACUCAUGCUGCAAUUGCAACGGUCGGAAACAGCGGAGCAACAGGCUCUGAGGCGACUUCUUCCAUGAUGCAGAGGUUCUGGGAUUCAGCAAUGUCAAGUGGGCCUCUUGAUGAUGAUGAUGAUUCCAGAAGCGAAGGAUCAACUAAAGUGGCAUCCGAGGCAGCAGAUAUAGGAAGAUCAGCCUUCUUUCCGCCUUCAGGCUUAUCAAACACUUUUGGGUUCAAGAUUCAGGACAAACAAGGCAGGAUGCACAGAUUUAACUGUGAAACGAGUAGCCUGGCUGAAUUGAUAACUUCCAUUCUGCAAAGACUUGGCGACGACAUUGAUAAAUUGAACCUACCUCAAAUUCUGUACGAAGAUGAUGAUCACGAUAAAGUCAUACUCUCAUCAGACACCGACCUUAUAGCGGCUGUGGACCAUGCAAGACAAAUCGGUUGGAAGAGCUUGAGGCUGCACUUGGAUUACGCCGGUGUUGGCCGCCGGAAGCGAGGAGCCGUCUCAUCGGAUUUCGAGUACGCUGGAAGGGACGCAUGGGCUUCCGCGUACGGCACCGUCGCGGCCGGCGCGGCCCUGGUGGCCGGCCUCGGCGUGAUGGCCUACCUGAAAAGAGGAGGCUAA